This 1400-nucleotide ribosomal RNA is filed under the name metagenome. RNAcentral describes it as "bacterial SSU rRNA". It matches the Rfam family "Bacterial small subunit ribosomal RNA", at positions 125 to 1498 of the family's 1533-position model. The record is from RNAcentral.
CCUGUCCUAAAAUCUGGGAUAACUUCGCGAAAGCGACGCUAAUACCGGAUAUUGUCUUUGAGACCUCGGUUUCUUAGAUGAAAGAUGACCUCUUCAUGAAAGUUGUCGUUUAAGGAGGGGCUCGCGUACCAUUAGCUAGUUGGUGGGGUAAUGGCCUACCAAGGCUACGAUGGUUAGCUGGUCUGAGAGGAUGACCAGCCACACUGGAACUGAAACACGGUCCAGACUCCUACGGGAGGCAGCAGUGAGGAAUUUUGCGCAAUGGGGGAAACCCUGACGCAGCAACGCCGCGUGAGUGAAGAAGGCCUUCGGGUCGUAAAGCUCUGUCGAGUGGAAAAAAAGAUUUACGGUUAAUAGCCGUAAGUUCUGAUGGUACCACUAAAGGAAGCAUCGGCUAACUCCGUGCCAGCAGCCGCGGUAAUACGGAGGGUGCAAGCGUUGUUCGGAAUUACUGGGCGUAAAGAGCGUGUAGGCGGUAUGGUAAGUCAGAUGUGAAAGCCCUGGGCUUAACCCACGAAGUGCAUUUGAUACUGCCAUUCUUGAGUAUGGGAGAGGUGAGUGGAAUUCCCAGUGUAGAGGUGAAAUUCGUAGAUAUUGGGAGGAACAUCCGUGGCGAAGGCGACUCACUGGACCAAUACUGACGCUGAGACGCGAAAGCGUGGGGAGCAAACAGGAUUAGAUACCCUGGUAGUCCACGCCAUAAACGAUGAGAACUAGGUGUAGCGGGUAUUGACCCCUGCUGUGCCGAAGUUAACGCAUUAAGUUCUCCGCCUGGGGAGUACGGCCGCAAGGCUAAAACUCAAAGGAAUUGACGGGGACCCGCACAAGCGGUGGAGCAUGUGGUUUAAUUCGACAACGCGAAGAACCUUACCUGGAUUUGACAUCCUCUGCUCGUCCUGGAAACAGGAUUUUCCAUGCUUGCAUGGACAGAGUGACAGGUGCUGCAUGGCUGUCGUCAGCUCGUGUCGUGAGAUGUUGGGUUAAGUCCCGCAACGAGCGCAACCCCCGUUUUUAGUUGCCCUUAUUAAGUUAGGCACUCUAAAGAUACUGCCUCGGUUAACGGGGAGGAAGGUGGGGAUGACGUCAAGUCCUCAUGGCCUUUAUAUCCAGGGCUAUACACGUGCUACAAUGGGCUGUACAAAGAGCAGCAACCUUGCGAGAGGAUCUAAUCUCAAAAAGCAGUUCUCAGUUCGGAUUGGGGUCUGCAACUCGACUCCAUGAAGUUGGAAUCGCUAGUAAUCGCGGAUCAGCAUGCCGCGGUGAAUACGUUCCCGGGUCUUGUACACACCGCCCGUCACACCACGAAAGUUGACUGUACCAGAAGUUGCCGGGCUAACCUCUUCGGAGGAUGCAGGUACCUAAGGUACGGCCAGUAAUUGGGGUGAAGUCGAAGCAAGGUA